CAAUAGCGUAUAUUAAAGUUGUUGCGGUUAAAAAGCUCGUAGUUGGAGUUCUGCCAGGUGCCGCCUGUCCGCCCCAGUGGUGAGUACGUGGCGCGCAUUUGGCCCUUUCAAGGGGAGCGUAUCUGCACUUUAUUGUGUGGUGCGGGAUCCUUGACUUUUACUUUGAGGAAAUAGGAGUGUUCCAAGCAGGCUCUCGUCGUGCACAGCUCAGCAUGGAAUAAUAGCAUUGGACCUCGAUUCUAAGCUGUUGGUUGCCAGAAGCGAGGUAAUGAUGAAGAGGGAUAGUUGGGGGCAUUCGUAUUUAACUGUCAGAGGGGAAAUUCUUGGAUUUGUUAAAGACGGACUACUGCGAAAGCAUCUGCCAUGGAUGUUUUCAUUGA
This 380-nucleotide ribosomal RNA is filed under the name uncultured eukaryote. RNAcentral describes it as "partial 18S ribosomal RNA". It matches the Rfam family "Eukaryotic small subunit ribosomal RNA", at positions 592 to 976 of the family's 1831-position model. The record is from RNAcentral.